RNAcentral lists this long non-coding RNA (623 nucleotides) under Lactuca sativa (garden lettuce). Its description in RNAcentral is "long non-coding RNA (LSAT_LNC002607)". The record is from RNAcentral. Lineage: Eukaryota; Viridiplantae; Streptophyta; Magnoliopsida; Asterales; Asteraceae.
UUAGUGGAGCGUGUUUGGUUAACCGAUACACUAACCUGGACUUAACAAGGUAAGCAAAGGGUGGCUUAAGGUUUAUCAUAGAUCGGUGGAGCGCGUGUGGGUAACCGGCACAUCGAUUGAGUGAUAAACAUUAAGAGUACCAAGUAAUUUGCAUGGUUACUUCACACCUUGUUUUGUGAUCCUCGGCAUCCCAGUCACAAAACUUGAAGGGCACACUCGAGAUUAAAACAUGGUGAAAAGUUCAAUGAAUCUCAUAGAAUCUAGGAGUUUCAACACCAAUUAAAACCUAAUAAUUUAUUUCGUUUUUCAUGGUGGAAAAUGGUGAAUCGUCAUUCACCUAGCUUCAAAUAUUUUAUAGCUUGGAUUAUGACAUCCCUCUUCUAAGUUAUAAAAUAUUGUGUUGGGUCCUAACCUUAAUAUUACAUUUGUGUGGUGAAAAGUUCAAUGAAUCUCAUAGAAUCUAGGAGUUUCAACACCAAUUAAAACCUAAUAAUUUAUUUCGUUUUUCAUGGUGGAAAAUGGUGAAUCGUCAUUCACCUAGCUUCAAAUAUUUUAUAGCUUGGAUUAUGACAUCCCUCUUCUAAGUUAUAAAAUAUUGUGUUGGGUCCUAACCUUAAUAUUAC